RNAcentral lists this long non-coding RNA (1176 nucleotides) under Brassica rapa (field mustard). RNAcentral's name for it is "long non-coding RNA (BRAP_LNC002631)". The record is from RNAcentral. Lineage: Eukaryota; Viridiplantae; Streptophyta; Magnoliopsida; Brassicales; Brassicaceae.
UCGACAUUCGCUUCAUCUCCAAGUUGAUUGCUUCCCCUUUGGAUGGUAAUUCUUGAAAGUAUGGGGUUCCUCGUAAUUCAUAAACCCAUCCCUCUAUUAUUUUCUUUCACAUUAGUCCCAUCGCAAACGUACACUUUUAUUAUUUCCAAGGCCAGAAUUCAUAUUUAAAUGAUCUUAUAAUCGAUACAGAAAAACUAAUAGUUCACCAUAACAUAUGUCUAAGAUAUAUAUGGUACCUACAUUUUCUUAUAACUAAAUAAGAUGUGAAACUUUUCAUGGAAGCCAACUAUAUGUGCUACCUCUUUUCAAAAUGUAAAUAACUUCUUAACUAUAAAAAAAUGAAAUACAACCAAGCAUGAUGAAACAUUCGCCUCUGCCUCCAAAUUUUUUUGAAAACAUUUAUAUAUAUAUAGUCUUCCAAAUUUGUAAAAAAAAAAAUUAGGCUCCAAACUUUUGAAAUCUUUACUAAAUAGUUUAGUAAUGGAUGUAUUGAGUAAUGGAGUAUGAGCUGAUAACAAAUAAAAGUAUCCUUUAAAAGGGAAAAUUUAUUUCCGUAACUUUUUUAACUUUAAUCUCAACGUAGCCGAAAUCACCUGGUCCUUAAAAUAAUGAAAAGAUGUAUUACAUUAACCGAACGUGAUACAAAAAAACAUAUGAUCAACUGGCUCUCCUUUUUUCAUAACAUUAAGCAAUUCAUCUUUAAAAUUUGGUUGGUUUCCGGAAAGUAAUUGAACAAAAAGAAGACAAAGGAGGUAUGGGAAAGGGAGAUAAAGACACAUUUCACUUAAAGUUAAAGCACAUUGUUGCAGACAAAAAGAGAGGGUUUAAAAUAAAAGACAAAAAUAUGAAAAAAAUAAACGAGAAAUUGAAAAGAAAAAGAGGAAAACUAAUCAAGGCAUAGAGAGAGACCUGCUCGUAUCAUAUCAAAGUCCACUGUUCAUGAAAGAAAGAUUACCUGAAUGAAAAUGCCUUCACUGACAAUUUACAUAUGUUAUGUGGUCCUUUUGUUGUUGUUGUCAAAGCAAGCACACACUACUAUGAAAAUGUGUAGUUACUACUAAGUUGACCAAAAAUCCUCCACUUGAUGAAAUUGAUAUCAAUCAUCCAAUCGAUCAUAUAAAAAAAUUAAAGUGUGAUAGAUUUGUUAGGUUUCUCGUUAUGAUGUUUAGAUCAAAA